Molecule: unclassified non-coding RNA, 477 nt
Filed under: Hevea brasiliensis (rubber tree)
Lineage: Eukaryota; Viridiplantae; Streptophyta; Magnoliopsida; Malpighiales; Euphorbiaceae
Source: RNAcentral
GCUUCCUUUUUCACUUUUCACUGAUUAUGUAAUUCUCUUGGUGAAUUUCUUAUUUGCGUACGGUUAUGAAUGUUUUGCGUUUGUUUUUAGUGGAAUUUAGCCUUUUUUGGGUGAAAUUUAGCUUGUUUUGCUUUAAUUUUUUUUCUUUUCAUCUGAUUUUGGUGCUUUUUGUGCGAAUAAUUUCGUUUGUUACGCGAAAUUUUAGUUAAUCUAGCUAUGAACUUUACUUGCUUUCGUGCAGUCUUUGAAUUGAAGGCAGUUACGGUGCAAUCUUAAGUUCUUAACGUCCAAAGCUUCUAUUUUUAGCUGAAGUUUGACUAAUAUCUUUCUAGUUCACUGCUAAACUCGUCACCGGCGAGUUUUCCCUUCACUGAAAGUGGUUUCUUGUCUUUAUUCUCUUAAAAGAACAGCUUUUCUCUGUUGUUUUUUUUUUUUCAAAGAAAUCCUUAAUUUUAUUUUCUCUAUUCUAACUUUUUU